This is a long non-coding RNA of Capsicum annuum, 794 nucleotides long. RefSeq lists it as uncharacterized. The record is from RefSeq and is a predicted model, not a curated record. NCBI's taxonomy places the organism in Eukaryota, Viridiplantae, Streptophyta, Magnoliopsida, Solanales, Solanaceae. The transcript has 3 exons.
AUCUUCAAAAUACAAAUCAUUUACUGCAAUCAUAGCAUUUCCAUGAAACAAUAUCUUUUUUGGCACAUUCCAUCAAACACUUGGCAUAAAAUUCAACCAUAUAUUAUAGUAUAUAUAACAAAUAUAAAUUUCAACAUCAACACCAAAGCUCCUGCAUUUUUAAAUGUUAAAAAUUGAACACUUGGCAUGCAACAUUGAGUCGAUGUAGAGACAAGUUAACUUGCCUAGUAAAGUAAAUAGAUUUUAGUUGCUGUCAGUGUUGGCGAAACAUAAAAGGAAAAAACUUCUCGAUUCUUCUGGAAUUGAAGGCUCAUUUUAGGGGUGACGCUCCCAAAAGGAUUUUCUCCAUAUCCAGAAUUUAUAUCCGUGACCUCUGAUUAAGGGUGAAGUAAUCCCACCACAACCCACGUUGGUUGCUGCUAAGAAAGCUAAAAGGGCCUCCCGUUGACCAGAACUUCAGGAAGCAUAAUAGAGUAGCGGAUGUCCUAGCAAAGAAAGGGGCCAGACGGCUUUUUGGGAAGAAUGUGGAAUUUUUGUAGCCCAUGCUACAUGGGAUGAUAUAGAUAGAAAAGGAUAUUGUAGGACAAUAUCUAUACUUCAAAUAAACGGGCAUAGCCCAUCUAUCUUUGUACUGGAGACGGAUUGAGCUCGAUCUAUGUCUUAACUUAACUUUUAUUAAUGCAUUUCUGCUUUACCUAAAAUUAAAAAAAAAAAAGAAAAAGGAUAGGAUUACCUAUACAUUAUCCCCCGAAUAUACUCUUAUUUUUAGAAUUACAUCAAUAUAUAUAUUAUUA